This 759-nucleotide ribosomal RNA is filed under the name Penicillium decumbens. RNAcentral's name for it is "SSU rRNA". It matches the Rfam family "Eukaryotic small subunit ribosomal RNA", at positions 84 to 853 of the family's 1831-position model. The record is from RNAcentral. Lineage: Eukaryota; Fungi; Ascomycota; Eurotiomycetes; Eurotiales; Aspergillaceae.
AAACUGCGAAUGGCUCAUUAAAUCAGUUAUCGUUUAUUUGAUAGUACCUUACUACAUGGAUACCUGUGGUAAUUCUAGAGCUAAUACAUGCUAAAAACCCCGACUUCAGGAAGGGGUGUAUUUAUUAGAUAAAAAACCAACGCCCUUCGGGGCUCCUUGGUGAAUCAUAAUAACUUAACGAAUCGCAUGGCCUUGCGCCGGCGAUGGUUCAUUCAAAUUUCUGCCCUAUCAACUUUCGAUGGUAGGAUAGUGGCCUACCAUGGUGGCAACGGGUAACGGGGAAUUAGGGUUCGAUUCCGGAGAGGGAGCCUGAGAAACGGCUACCACAUCCAAGGAAGGCAGCAGGCGCGCAAAUUACCCAAUCCCGAUACGGGGAGGUAGUGACAAUAAAUACUGAUACGGGGCUCUUUUGGGUCUCGUAAUUGGAAUGAGAACAAUUUAAAUCCCUUAACGAGGAACAAUUGGAGGGCAAGUCUGGUGCCAGCAGCCGCGGUAAUUCCAGCUCCAAUAGCGUAUAUUAAAGUUGUUGCAGUUAAAAAGCUCGUAGUUGAACCUUGGGUCUGGCUGGCCGGUCCGCCUCACCGCGAGUACUGUCCGGCUGGACCUUUCCUUCUGGGGAACCUCAUGGCCUUCACUGGCUGUGGGGGGAACCAGGACUUUUACUGUGAAAAAAUUAGAGUGUUCAAAGCAGGCCUUUGCUCGAAUACAUUAGCAUGGAAUAAUAGAAUAGGACGUGCGGUUCUAUUUUGUUGGUUUCUA